This 766-nucleotide ribosomal RNA is filed under the name uncultured Caryophanaceae bacterium. RNAcentral's name for it is "bacterial SSU rRNA". It matches the Rfam family "Bacterial small subunit ribosomal RNA", at positions 28 to 776 of the family's 1533-position model. Lineage: Bacteria; Bacillati; Bacillota; Bacilli; Caryophanales; Caryophanaceae. The record is from RNAcentral.
GAUGAACGCUGGCGGCGUGCCUAAUACAUGCAAGUCGAGCGAACAGACGAGGAGCUUGCUCCUUUGAUGUUAGCGGCGGACGGGUGAGUAACACGUAGGUAACCUACCUAUAAGACUGGGAUAGCUUCGGGAAACCGGAGCUAAUACCGGAUAAUAUUUCGAACCGCAUGGUUCGAUAGUGAAAGAUGGCUUUGCUAUCACUUAUAGAUGGACCUGCGCCGUAUUAGCUAGUUGGUAAGGUAACGGCUUACCAAGGCAACGAUACGUAGCCGACCUGAGAGGGUGAUCGGCCACACUGGAACUGAGACACGGUCCAGACUCCUACGGGAGGCAGCAGUAGGGAAUCUUCCGCAAUGGGCGAAAGCCUGACGGAGCAACGCCGCGUGAGUGAUGAAGGUCUUCGGAUCGUAAAACUCUGUUAUUAGGGAAGAACAAACGUGUAAGUAACUGUGCACGUCUUGACGGUACCUAAUCAGAAAGCCACGGCUAACUACGUGCCAGCAGCCGCGGUAAUACGUAGGUGGCAAGCGUUAUCCGGAAUUAUUGGGCGUAAAGCGCGCGUAGGCGGUUUUUUAAGUCUGAUGUGAAAGCCCACGGCUCAACCGUGGAGGGUCAUUGGAAACUGGAAAACUUGAGUGCAGAAGAGGAAAGUGGAAUUCCAUGUGUAGCGGUGAAAUGCGCAGAGAUAUGGAGGAACACCAGUGGCGAAGGCGACUUUCUGGUCUGUAACUGACGCUGAUGUGCGAAAGCGUGGGGAUCAAACAGG